CAGGAGACAGCAUAGUUAAAUAAGUAGAAGUAGUAGAACAGUAGAAGUUACAAGAGUAGAAGUUACAAGAGUAGAAGUUACAAGAGUAGAAGUUACUGCAUUUGAGCACAAGUCUGUAAAGAUGUCAGAGGCAAUCUAUGAAAACAGAGAUGGAUUUAAAGGCAAAAAACCUAAUGAAAUAAAGACCAUGGAUAUUGAUGAUUGUAUAUACACCAACGAAACACCCAUCAAGCCCUGCAGGAAGGAUGGAGUUGGUGAUCAACAAUCAGUGUUUUAUCAGUGGUGGAAGAGAUACUCUGGAGCUGCUGCAGUGAGUCUGGGGCUGCUGUGUGUUCUCCUAUUGGCUGGGAUCAUAGGCCUGUUGCUCUACCAGCGAAACCAAUUAACCAGAUCCAACACCCUGACCAAAGAGAGAGACCAGUUACAGACCAGCGGCAACAACCUGACUGAAGAGAGAGACCAG
This is a long non-coding RNA of Coregonus clupeaformis (lake whitefish), 463 nucleotides long. RefSeq lists it as uncharacterized. NCBI's taxonomy places the organism in Eukaryota, Metazoa, Chordata, Actinopteri, Salmoniformes, Salmonidae. The record is from RefSeq and is a predicted model, not a curated record. The transcript is spliced from 3 exons.